This 563-nucleotide small RNA is filed under the name Pan troglodytes (chimpanzee). RNAcentral's name for it is "retained intron". Lineage: Eukaryota; Metazoa; Chordata; Mammalia; Primates; Hominidae. The record is from RNAcentral.
UGUUUCACACUUCUGUCCUCUCUGGAGGUGACCGAUCACCUUGUGACCCUCCCUCCUUUCUCCCUUGUGCUCCGGCCAGCACGAGUACAGUGGCAGAUGCCUACCGCUGGCGCAACCACACCGUGGGCAACAGGACCGUGGUGGAGGAAGGCUACUAUUAUCUCAAUAAUUUUGACAACAUCCUCAACAGCUUUGUGACCCUGUUUGAGCUCACAGUUGUCAACAACUGGUACAUCAUCAUGGAAGGCGUCACCUCUCAGACCUCCCACUGGAGCCGCCUCUACUUCAUGACCUUUUACAUUGUGACCAUGGUAGGUCCCGGACCACAGAACGCUCUGUCCUUCGUCUUCCACAUCACCAGCUGCCCCUGCUCUUCAGCCUGCAGCGUCAGGGAGUGGGGCCGGGUCCCAUCUGGCCGGGCUCUGUUGGGCGUGGGCUGCGCAGCCACGGACACCUACCCACCCUCCUCCCCUGCCUCUGCCCCUCCCUCCCUAUCCCUGGCCAGGUGGUGAUGACGAUCAUUGUCGCCUUUAUCCUCGAGGCCUUCGUCUUCCGAAUGAACU